AAUCUCGAACAAUGGGGGCAACCGUAAUCCAGCCAUGCGGUGUGAGUGAUGAAGCCCUUAGGGUGAAAAACAUGGGGGUCAUCCGACGAUAAUGACGGUUGCAGGGAAAGAAACCCGGGUAAGUUCGUGCCCAGCAGCGCGGGUAAUAGAGAGGGGGUUAGGGUAUUUGGGAUCUAUGGGGCGUAAAGGGCACGUAGCGGGACGGUCAAGUGGAGGGUGAAUUCCCAGGGUUCAACCCUGGAACUGCCUCCAAAACUAUCAGUCUAGAGUUCGAGAGAGGAGAGUGGAAUUCCGAGGAUAGAGGAAAAAUUCGUAUAUAUUCAGAAACACACCAGGGGAAGGCGGCUCACUGGGCCUUUUUAGACGCUGAGGCACGAAAAAUAGGGUAGAGCACACAGGAAGAUACCCCUGGUAGUCCCACACUA
Molecule: ribosomal RNA, 425 nt
Filed under: uncultured marine bacterium
Lineage: Bacteria
Description: bacterial SSU rRNA
Rfam family: Bacterial small subunit ribosomal RNA
Source: RNAcentral